RNAcentral lists this transfer RNA (67 nucleotides) under Marmota monax (woodchuck). Its description in RNAcentral is "tRNA.Ala". Lineage: Eukaryota; Metazoa; Chordata; Mammalia; Rodentia; Sciuridae. The record is from RNAcentral.
GGCUGUAGCUCAGUGGUGGAACACUUGCCUUGCACGUAUGAGGCACUGGGUUCAAUCCUCAGCACCA